This 253-nucleotide ribosomal RNA is filed under the name uncultured bacterium. Its description in RNAcentral is "partial 16S ribosomal RNA". It matches the Rfam family "Bacterial small subunit ribosomal RNA", at positions 524 to 776 of the family's 1533-position model. The record is from RNAcentral.
UACAGAGGGGGCAAGCGUUAUUCGGAAUUAUUGGGCGUAAAGGGCGCGUAGGCGGCCUUGCAAGUGACGGGUGAAAUCCCUCGGCUUAACCGAGGAACUGCCUGUCAGACUGCAUGGCUUGAGACCAGGAGAGGUGAGUGGAAUUCCCAGUGUAGCGGUGAAAUGCGUAGAUAUUGGGAGGAACACCAGUGGCGAAGGCGGCUCACUGGACUGGUACUGACGCUGAUGCGCGAAAGCGUGGGGAGCAAACAGG